CCUACGGGAGGCAGCAGUCGAGAAUCAUUCACAAUGGGGGAAACCCUGAUGGUGCGACGCCGCGUGGGGGAAUGAAGGUCUUCGGAUUUUAAACCCCUGUCAUGUGGGAGCAAAUUAAAAAGAUAGUACCACAAGAGGAAGAGACGGCUAACUCUGUGCCAGCAGCCGCGGUAAUACAGAGGUCUCAAGCGUUGUUCGGAAUCACUGGGCGUAAAGCGUGCGUAGGCUGUUUCGUAAGUCGUGUGUGAAAGGCGCGGGCUCAACCCGCGGACGGCACAUGAUACUGCGAGACUAGAGUAAUGGAGGGGGAACCGGAAUGCUCGGUGGAGCAGUGAAAUGCGUAGAUAUCGAGAGGAACACUCGUGGCGAAGGCGGGUUCCUGGACAUUAACUGACGCGGAGGCACGAAGGCCAGGGGAGCGAAAGGGAUUAGAUACCCCAGUAGUC
This 446-nucleotide ribosomal RNA is filed under the name uncultured bacterium. RNAcentral describes it as "partial 16S ribosomal RNA". It matches the Rfam family "Bacterial small subunit ribosomal RNA", at positions 338 to 795 of the family's 1533-position model. The record is from RNAcentral.